This 368-nucleotide ribosomal RNA is filed under the name uncultured organism. RNAcentral's name for it is "bacterial LSU rRNA". It matches the Rfam family "Bacterial large subunit ribosomal RNA", at positions 2099 to 2465 of the family's 2925-position model. The record is from RNAcentral.
CUUGACUGUAGCCUGGAAUUGGGUUCGGGCUUUUCUUGCGCAGACUAGGUGGGAGGCUAUGAAGAUUUCCUUCCGGGGAAGUUGGAGCCAACAGUGAGAGACCACUCUGGAAAGGCUAGAAUCCUCAUGGUGAUCCUUGAAUCAGGACACUUGACAGUUUCAGGCGGGCAGUUUUUCUGGGGCGGAAACCUCAUAAAAGGUAACUGAGGUGCGCAAAGGUUCCCUCAGUCUGGACGGAAAUCAGACAUUGAGUGUAAAGGCAAAAGGGAGCUUGACUGCAAGACCCACAAGUCGAGCAGGAGCGAAAGUCGGCCUUAGUGAUCCGACGGUUCCAUGUGGAAGGGCCGUCGCUCAACGGAUAAAAGUUA